Molecule: long non-coding RNA, 1716 nt
Organism: Fukomys damarensis (Damara mole-rat)
Lineage: Eukaryota; Metazoa; Chordata; Mammalia; Rodentia; Bathyergidae
Source: Ensembl
CUUUGUAUUUCCCUAGAGAGAUACACACUGGAAAAACUCCUUUAACAUCUUGCUUUACAGCUUAUGUUGUCUGUGAAGGAGAAGUGAAUCACAUGAUUGGAAUUUGAUGACCUUUGGUUCAUGGACUUUGCUUGGGUAGAGCUGGUCUGUUGAAACCCUGCAGGGAUUCCAAGUGCAGCCUUUCCCUCAUUCUGUCUCUCUCCUCCCCAGUGUGGCCAAGAACAUUGUGGCUGUGCUGUAGACCCACAUGUAGGCUGUCCCUGGAUCUGGACUUGGAUGGGUCAGGACAGGUCUCAACAGUUACCAGCGAAACUGCACUGGACAGCAGCCUUCCUAAAGGAAACUUUCCCACCUCUAUAAUGAAGAAAAGCAGGAGUGUGAUGGCCGUGACUGCAGAUGAUAAUGUUAAAGAUUAUUUUGAAUGUAGCCUGAGUAAAUCCUACAGUUCUUCCAGUAACACACUUGGGAUCGACCUGUGGCGAGGGAGGAGGUGUUGCUCGGGGAACUUGCAGCUACCACCGCUGUCUCAGCGACAGAGUGACAGGGCGCGGACCCCCGAGGGAGACGGCCUCCCCAGGCCCACCACGCUGCCUCUGAACACACUUCCCAGCAUCGCCAUCACCACUGCGAGCCAGGAAGGUGCUGGAAGAAGGAAGCUGGAGAUACCAGUGUUCGUCACUUCCCACUCCCACAAGGAAGGCUACAGAGAGAGAGUGGGCUGGAUGUUACAGUUCUUUGCUGCAUUAAGAAAUUAAAAUGACAGGUGACAGUUCUCUUUUAUAAACCAGACGUCUACGAGGGAAGGGGGAAGAGUUGCUUGCUAUGGUUAUAUUUUUAAUAAGAAAAUGCUGAGGUACAGAGUGUUGGAAAAUAGAGUAAGAGGUUGAGUGAAAGCUGGGAAAGAAUGGAGCUGCAUUUCUAGCACAGCACACAAAUGCGAUCUCCUAGUGUUUGAGACAUUGUUAGAAGCAUUUUAAAGAAGCAGUUUUACUCAGGAAAUAAAGCUUUGAUCAGGGAGAGCCCGGGUAGGAAAGAACAUGUAGUCGGGCUUCAUCUGUAGGGAGGACGGUAAGGGCCAUUGUGUAAGGUCCUUGGGGAGUCAAAUCUGAACCCGAAGUUCUAGGUAAGUGCAGGAAGAAGAGAAAGAACUAGGAGAAGCUUGCUUACUCAGUGAUUUUGUUCAAAAUCUUAUGCAUCAGGUCUUCUUAACUGAAUGCCCCCCUUUUUAAUAAAAGAGGAAAACUUUUCAGCCAAUAUUUUCUGUAAUUGGCAAGAUUAGGAGUGAAUAGGAGCUGGAUGUGUCCCGAAAAGAUUUCUUGUUGGAUGGAGUAAUCCUUCUCUCUAGAACUGACCUAUGUAAUAUGCUGUAAACAGGAGGAGUGUGGUAGUUAUUUCUUAGGCAAGCAUGCUUACCGAGGUGGCUUAGAGAUCACAAUGGCCUAAAGAUAAGCUCCUGGCUUAAUCCCAGUAUUUCACUAACAUACUAUCUAGCAUGAUUUGUUUUUAGUAGUUGGGGGUCUAGAUUUAUUUCAUACCCUCUAAUGCUCACAGAUGUACAAACACAUGUUCUCACCCCCAGUAGUCAAAGAACUAUCUUUAUGCUGGAAUGGCUCUCGACACUGAUUUGCAUGUUUCCUCCAAAGCCAUAAGUUAUUAAUACGGUGUCUGUCAUUUCUUAUCACUGUGGCUUACUGACUUCUCUCUUUCUUUUGCCCU